This 509-nucleotide ribosomal RNA is filed under the name uncultured bacterium. RNAcentral describes it as "bacterial SSU rRNA". It matches the Rfam family "Bacterial small subunit ribosomal RNA", at positions 8 to 526 of the family's 1533-position model. The record is from RNAcentral.
AGGGUUUGAUCAUGGCUCAGGACGAACGCUGGCGGUGCGCCUUAUGCAUGCAAGUCGAGCGAAGCUUUUCAGUAGUUUACUACAGAAAAUGACUGAGCGGCGAACGGGUGAGUAACGCGUGAGCAAUCUACCUUAGUUACAGGGAUAGCCCGAGGAAACUCGGAUUAAUACCUGAUAUUCUUUACAUUUCGCAUGAAAUCAAAAGGAAAGGUCAGCCGAACUAAGAUGAGCUCGCGUUCUAUCAGCUAGUUGGUGAGGUAAAAGCUCACCAAGGCAACGACGGAUAGCUGGUCUGAGAGGACGAUCAGCCACACUGGGACUGAGACACGGCCCAGACUCCUACGGGAGGCUGCAGCAGGGAAUAUUGCGCAAUGAGCGAAAGCUUGACGCAGCGACACCGCGUGUGGGAUGACGGAUCUAGGUUUGUAAACCACUUUCAGGAGGGAAGAAAAUGACGGUACCUCCACAAGAAGCCCCGGCCAACUACGUGCCAGCCGCCGCGGUAAUAC